CCUACGGGUGGCAGCAGUAGGGAAUCUUGCGCAAUGGGCGAAAGCCUGACGCAGCAACGCCGCGUGGGGGAUGAAGGCUCUCGGGUUGUAAACCCCUUUCAGUAGGGACGAAAUUGACGGUACCUACAGAAGAAGCCCCGGCCAACUACGUGCCAGCAGCCGCGGUAAUACGUAGGGGGCAAGCGUUGUCCGGAUUUAUUGGGCGUAAAGAGCUCGUAGGCGGCUUGGCAAGUCGGAAGUCAAAACAGCAGGCUCAACCUGCUGCCGCUUCCGAUACUGCUAUGGCUUGAGUCUGGUAGGGGAUGACGGAAUUCCUGGUGUAGCGGUGAAAUGCGCAGAUAUCAGGAGGAACACCAGUGGCGAAGGCGGUCAUCUGGGCCAGUACUGACGCUGAGGAGCGAAAGCGUGGGUAGCGAACAGGAUUAGAUACCCUAGUAGUC
This 440-nucleotide ribosomal RNA is filed under the name uncultured bacterium. RNAcentral describes it as "bacterial SSU rRNA". It matches the Rfam family "Bacterial small subunit ribosomal RNA", at positions 338 to 795 of the family's 1533-position model. The record is from RNAcentral.